AUAAAGAUUAUUCUUUUGUUAGAAUA
This 26-nucleotide transfer RNA is filed under the name Lionepha erasa. RNAcentral's name for it is "partial tRNA-Leu". RNAcentral also lists the same sequence under 2 other names. Lineage: Eukaryota; Metazoa; Arthropoda; Insecta; Coleoptera; Carabidae. The record is from RNAcentral.